This 3532-nucleotide long non-coding RNA is filed under the name Homo sapiens (human). RNAcentral's name for it is "HSALNT0009902". The record is from RNAcentral. Lineage: Eukaryota; Metazoa; Chordata; Mammalia; Primates; Hominidae.
UUUUAAAGUUAUUCCUUCUUUAUUUUUUUAAUCACAGCAAUCCUCCCCUCAUCCAUGGUUUCAUUUUCUAUGGUUCCAGUUACUCAUGGUCAACCAUGGUCAGAAAACAGGACAAACUGAGAGUAAAAGAUGCAGGAAUAAAACACAGAAAUCAAAAUAAAGGGUUUACUGCUGAAAAAUCCGCUUGAACAAGCCUGUUAAUGUGAUCUUCCUGAAUGAAGCCAGCUUACCCCUAGGCCUCCACUGUCCCUCAGGAAAGAGAACACGAAAACUGGAACUCUCUGCAGAAAGGAGGAUCCCAAAGAAGGGGCCAAGCUGUACAUUUAUCAAUCAGGAAAGCCACUCCACCCUCCAUGGCAGCCCCUACAAUUUGAAACAAGUAUUCUUCCUAACAUAACACAUUAAUUCAUGAGUUUAUCAGUUCAUUUCAUUUUUACUUUGAGAUUUUUGUGAAUAACCAUAGAAAAAUCUAUUUCACCUGGCAAUAAAUAGGAAAAGGCACAGCAUAAUGUUUAAAUACAGAGAAUAUUGUUACAUGUAAGAUGUUGAUUGAAUGUUCUAAAUACAAUUUGAAAACUGCGUGAGAGGAGGAAAACGUAUAUUCAGAAGGACUUAGGUGAAUCCAGAUGAAUAUUUUCAUGACAGGAUGUUGGCUAUUGAUAUGAAGAAAGUAGAGGAAUAGACUUGCUAAAAGUUAGAGGAGUCUAGUUUAUCUUCCAAGAAGCUUUGCAACCCUGUAAUACUGUAGAAAUCACAAAUUUGGCAAUAAUUUUAAGAUAAUUUAUGUUCAUUUUUUAUGGAAUGCCAUGUUUAUCUUUUUAUAUAUGACAUUUUCUGGUCAGUAGUAAUAUAUAUAUCCUUUAUUAAAAUUGGAAAAUAAAUACAAACAUUUUAUUUAUUUAUUGGUUAAAAAAUUAUUAUGCUCAUUCUUUUUUUUUUUAACCAGUAAGGAUCUGGAUAAAGAAAAACAUUUUAGAAAACCACUUGUAGAGUACCAUGAACCAGUCUCUCUUCUCCAUUUUAAAAAAUUUAUUGACUCACUUUUUUUCCAUAACUUUUUGAGAUAUUAUUUCAACCACUUUGCAUUUAGAGAAAAAGAGUCAGAGAGUGAUUAAGAAAUCUGCCCAAUGCUAUACUGAUAGAAGCUGGGAGAACUGGGAUUUGAGCUUACAUAGGCUAGUUCUAGCAUUUGUGAAGUUCUCGCCUAAUAAAAAUUAUCUGUAAUCAUAACCAGAGCAAGUCAUUUCUAACCUCCUGUCUAUAGACACGCGGAUACAUUUGUAAUGUUUUUGUUUGUUUGUUUUUAGCACGACAGAUCAAUUCCUGCUGGCAUUAUAGUUCUUUAACUAUCAUAGCUUCUCUGAUUUUUCAACACAUCUGUCAUCCGUAUUCUGCAGGCAUAGCCAACUCUGUCAGUGUCUCCUCAGGCAAUCAGAAUCAACAGACAGAAUGUAGGACAGAAAACUGGCUGCAAACAUGUUGGAAGGGCUGGAGGAGCGAAAGAGGGAAGAUCUGUUACCUAGAGAUAGUAACUUCCAGAAGUUACCACUAUACUAGUGCAGGAGAAGCAGAAAGGAAGAUGCUGCUACCCAGAGCCCACAGUCAUUGUGCCCCUGAUGCCGCUGGAACCCCACUGCAGCUGCUUUACAGGAAGCAGGGAAUUAGCGCUCUUGCUGAUGCUACAGGUAUCCAGGAUCCAAAAGUCAUCAGCCGCUGUCCCUGUUGCAGCCUAGGGAAACUGUCCCACUGAGGUUGUUGGGGUACCUGCUACUGCAUCUACUGUCUGAACCAUGUUGCCUGAGCAGAUGUCCAGGGCUCAGGCUUGCCUGCUGCUGUUACUGCUGCCACCAUGUUUAUCAGAGCUACUUCAAGAAGAGAAGAAAUCCUCCUCAUUUCCAGUUUUUUCCAGUGCCUCCCAUUGCUUCCCAGAAUGCCAAAUUCUCUUUGAGAGACAGCUGAAAGGAAGGUUUGGAAAAGACUCUGGUGUAAGCAGAUUCUGCUUCCCUGCAAUAGGGGGAAAGCAUAGGGUGGAACUGGAGCUGAGAGCUAAUCACGAAUGAGCAAAUCAGUCUUCAAGACAUUUACCUUUCCUUGAAACGUUUCCCUUCUUUUACCGUGUUUUCCAUGUCAUUAUUUUUCCACAAUUCUGCAUCAUAUUCUGUUAACUAUUAAUGCCCUGGAUAAGUUUAUUUGCUCUUUCUUAGGGUUAAUUUUUCUCCUUUUCUUCGAAGCUUUAGUUUGCAGGUUCAGCUUGUGUGGGAAUUUUCAUCUCCCUCCUCUUCAAGACUCCUUGGAUAUCAGUUUUUUGGUUGCCUUCACCAACUCUCCCCCCACCAUCUCUAGACCAGGGCAUGGUCUUAGUUGGUGGCUUGGACUCCUGUGGCUUGGAGUCUUUGGGGAUAUUAGAGAUCCAGUCACUGAGCUGGCAAAGGGAACACUGUCCUUGCUUCCAGCUUUAUGAAGAACGCUUUGCUCUGUCACCCCAGGUAAAUAAUCAUGUUAUUCAAGGAUAAUGAAUGCAGCCACCAUGUAAUCAUCACUGACUCCAUGGCCAUGAGAAAAGAGACCUAAGAAAUGAUGCCCAUCCAGAAGAGUGAAGACUUCCUGAAAAUGUUCUUUUAACCUAAGAUGUAGGUUAAGAGGAGUGAAAAAAUGUUCUGUUUCUGACUGAUGAUGGAGCAACAAAGGUAUGUUUCUUAUUAAUAACACUGAGCAGUUAGGAAGCAGAUGUGCCUCUCCAGGGAAACUCACAAGUGUCCACUGACCUAGUAUCUGCGGAGAACCAUAGCAGUUGUGGUCUCUCUCCCCAGCUUCAAGCAAGGGCAACUUUUCCCUGUGUCUGGUUCUUUUGCUGUCACCUGAAGCCACAGAAAAUGAUCUGAACCUGCUCAGUCCCUGGACAUAUCUGGGGAAUACAAAGUCUCAGAGUCGCUCUCUAAGAAUUGCCAGCAUGUUCUAGAGAUUCUUUAGAUGCAUAGCUGCAUGGAGCAAAACAGGGUCAGGGGAUGUGUGCCGAGGCCAAGGUCUUCUCUUAUGUUUCAAAAAUAUUAACAUUUCAGGCCUGUCUUCUUUUAAAGGAUAGCUCAUGUAUAUGAUUUUUUAAAAAAAAAUCUACCAAAUCAAAUAAAGAAGUCCUGGGAGUUCACCCGGUGUUUUCUACAGAACCAAGGUAUUCAUAUUGAGAUCCUUCAAUAUAAUCAGCUAUGUGACCUUGGUUAAGUUAAUUAAUGCCUCUGAAACUGAGGUUCCUCAUCUGUGAAAUGGAGAUAUUCAACAAAGCACCCUGUGGGGAUUAGAUGAGAUUGCACAUCUGACUGCCUAGAGUAUAGUAAGGGGUCACUGUUUCCUCUUCACUCCUCAGGAAAAUUUGAUUGAACAAGGAUAGAAACUUUGAUUCUAGGGACAGAAGGUCUUCAGAAGUCUUUGAGGCCAGAGGGCCUGUCAUAGAACUGCAGUGUAGGUUCAUUAAAACGCUGUCAUCCUAAUGUUUAUCCACAGUAUCUAAUAGAUUUAAAAGGAAGACAAUAUGGCA